UACGGGGGGGGCAAGCGUUGUUCGGAAUUACUGGGCGUAAAGGGCUCGUAGGCGGCCAACUAAGUCAGACGUGAAAUCCCUCGGCUUAACCGGGGAACUGCGUCUGAUACUGGAUGGCUUGAGUUUGGGAGAGGGAUGUAGAAUUCCAGGUGUAGCGGUGAAAUGCGUAGAUAUCUGGAGGAAUACCGGUGGCGAAGGCGGCAUCCUGGACCAUUACUGACGCUGAGGCGCGAAAGCUAGGGGAGCAAACGGG
This 253-nucleotide ribosomal RNA is filed under the name uncultured bacterium. Its description in RNAcentral is "partial 16S ribosomal RNA". It matches the Rfam family "Bacterial small subunit ribosomal RNA", at positions 524 to 776 of the family's 1533-position model. The record is from RNAcentral.